This 261-nucleotide ribosomal RNA is filed under the name uncultured prokaryote. RNAcentral's name for it is "partial 16S ribosomal RNA". It matches the Rfam family "Bacterial small subunit ribosomal RNA", at positions 524 to 784 of the family's 1533-position model. The record is from RNAcentral.
UACGUAGGUGGCGAGCGUUAUCCGGAAUUAUUGGGCGUAAAGAGCGCGCAGGUGGUUGAUUAAGUCUGAUGUGAAAGCCCACGGAUUAACCGUGGAGGGUCAUUGGAAACUGGUCGACUUGAGUGCAGAAGAGGGAAGUGGAAUUCCAUGUGUAGCGGUGAAAUGCGUAGAGAUAUGGAGGAACACCAGUGGCGAAGGCGGCUUCCUGGUCUGUAACUGACACUGAGGCGCGAAAGCGUGGGGAGCAAACAGGAUUAGAUA